Apis cerana (Asiatic honeybee) is the source of this 793-nucleotide long non-coding RNA. RefSeq lists it as uncharacterized. NCBI's taxonomy places the organism in Eukaryota, Metazoa, Arthropoda, Insecta, Hymenoptera, Apidae. The record is from RefSeq and is a predicted model, not a curated record.
AUAUUUCGGAAUUCUUUCAAACAAUUCUUCAAUGUUAUUUGUGAAGAAAUAUUUAAAGCUCAGAUUUUUUAAAGAUCUAUUCAAGCUAUGAUUUCAGAAUAUAUUUAGAUAAUUUGCAAAAUCAAAUCGAAUUUAUCAUUUUUUUAAAUAAUGCGCAAUCGAAGAUUUUUUUUGUCGAAGACAAUGCCCUAGGUCAGAAGGACAACUGGAACGCCGUGAGAGGGUGGGAGUGCGGAGAAGUAUUAAAUCAUAGCGAGGCCACUUCCAAAGUCAGUUCUACGUUGAACGUCCAGACAAGAAAUUCUUCCUUGGUAACUAUUCAUUGAUUGUUUUAUUGAAAAAUUUAUCAUUUUCUUCUUCUAUUUUUUCUUUAUAAAUAUUUUUAUGAAAUUUCACUCAAUAGUUUUACUAUAAAAUAAAAAAUAAGAAAGAACAGAAUUCUUCAAAUAUUUCAUUAAGUAAGCAGUAAUUGUGAUUGUGUUUCUGAAGUGAAUCUUCUCGUGCAUUAAAAAAAGUUAAAAGAAAAUUUUGUUAUCAUUAACAAUAUUGGUUAUGAAGUUAACAGCGUGGAGUUUUGUGUUGUGCAUCCUGGUAACUGUUUUCUUCCUGGCGGUUACCACAUCUGCAUAUCCUGCUAGCAAUCCAGAAAUAAUGUAUAACUUGCAGGCGAUCGAAAAUAUGCGACAGAUUCCGCAAUGGCAUUGUUUGCGCUACAGAAAAUUUGAUCUCGUACGCCGCUGUCGGAAUUACCGUUUAGGAAGAAAACAUUGACAAAUAAAAAAUCAUCGCAAUU